Molecule: non-coding RNA, 84 nt
Filed under: Symbiodinium microadriaticum
Lineage: Eukaryota; Dinophyceae; Suessiales; Symbiodiniaceae
Description: Eukaryotic large subunit ribosomal RNA
Rfam family: Eukaryotic large subunit ribosomal RNA
Source: Rfam by way of RNAcentral
CCCGCCGAAUUUAAGCAUAUAAGUAAGCGGAGGAGAAUGAAGGAACUAAGCCGGAUUCCCAAAGUAAUGGCGAACGAACAGGGA